RNAcentral lists this long non-coding RNA (1771 nucleotides) under Mus musculus (house mouse). RNAcentral's name for it is "long non-coding RNA chr5:33872640-33874411". Lineage: Eukaryota; Metazoa; Chordata; Mammalia; Rodentia; Muridae. The record is from RNAcentral.
UAUUAGACUAUGAGGUUGUGGUCUGGUAAGUCACUCAGCUGGCUCUGUUCAAAUGCAUUGAGAGACAUGACCUCAGAAUACCUAGUGUGAACAUUCUAAGUUGUACUGUUCUUAACAGACAUGAAAGAUCUCAGGUAAAUAAAAAAAAUUUUAAAUAUAGAUCACAAAAUUAAAAAGUAUGUGAAGAAAUAUGAUGGUGUAGAAAUGUCCUGGGUUUAAGAAGUGAUUUCUCAAAAGUAAAGAUACUAUCCCAGAGGGUCGUGGGCAGAAAUGAAGGGAUUUCAUUUGAACUUAGAGCAUGAUGAAUUUGAGUGGGUGCACAGGAAGCAGCUAGCGGAUAGGAAGGCACUCUGCUCUGUGAUGGCAAGUGAAGACUUGAGAACUUAGGGUGAUGACCACCGAACAGCACAGCUAGUGCCUACUGAGUUCAGAGAGUGCAAGGGGACGAAGGUGGGGAUCCUGAAAUGUUCUUCAACUGGGGAAGACAGAGCUCACCUUCAGGCAGGAGCAGGGGCCUCAGCAUUCUGCAGUGAGUGUAGAGUGAAAGUCCUCCAUGUAGUAUUUUCCUGCCCCAGACCAGUCUUAUAGUAAAUAAGCAGAGUUCUGUGUCAGCUCAUGGCUGAUCUCUCCUCAAAGAGGUGAGUAGAAAAGAGAUUCUUGUUUAAAAGAGUCUAGCAAGAAGCAGUAGCUUGUCUGCUAAGAGUACAAAAAUUAUAUGACAAAUUUAUUAUGCUACAAAUUUAACAUGGAAUUCCUUCAUUUUCUAUAAAAAUGUCAAAAAAAAGCAAUGCUACCUCCAGCCUUAGGUCUUUUGAACUGCCCACUGUUGAGAUGAGUUUUUCUUUUGCCAUACAAAGUUAUUAUCAUAUGAUUCUAUUUGGCUUCCUUCAAACUAUUGUUUGUAUACUAUAUUUGCUUGGCAAGGGGAGGUAGCUUUCUGUAUAAGACUCUGAUUCUAAAGAGAUGAAGACUUGUGUGAAUGUACAAAGGUUUGCAUUGUAGCUGUUAGAACAGCACAGCAGGGAGUACACGAACUGAUAGAGACCUGUGCUCAGCAGCCAGGUUCUUCAGGUGCUUCUUAAUCAGCCCCUCUGCUCCAGAUGGACCUUUCCCUCCAUGUAGCUUUUCCUCAGAGUCGAUGAGAAGUGAAUGUUGUCUUUGGUCACAAUGCCUUUAAGUGUAGUUGUAGCUCAGAACUUUUUUUUUAGUAUUCAUAUCUAUUUACAUCUGUGUUUCCCAACAGAAGACAACUUCAGUAUUUUUAAGAGGAUAUCCUGAAAACCAACACGAAAGCUAAUCAUGACAAGGAAGUAAAACAUAGGAUCUGAGAGGAGAGGGUCCUUGCUCCAUGCAUGAGGACAUCCAUCCCACCCACUGCCUCUGAAGAGCUGUAGAGCAACCUGCUUUUGGCAUGGGUGGAUGGAUUUUUAAGUUGGUUUCCCAGUCAAGUUAUAUUUAAUUAAGGGACUAGUUGAGAUAGUUCAUGCAAAAGCACCAGAAAACUUAAAACAGGGUUCUCUGGGGCUGGAAGCCAGAUUAGGGACAGGGCCUUUUCAUUAAUGAGAGAACAUGUCACAAGGAAAGCAAGAGAUAAAAACCAACAAAACCUAACCUGGUGACCACAUGUCUGUGACUCCAUGUACUCAUCCCAAGGUUGUAUCUGGAGCCUGUGGGCUGGCUAGAUGAUAUAGGUGACUGGCACCUAUUAAGAGUAUAUAACAUAAAUACCAUAAAAAGGAGGAAAUAAAGAUAAGUAAACAUCUCAUUUCUC